GUGGGGAAUUUUGGACAAUGGGGGCAACCCUGAUCCAGCAAUGCCGCGUGUGUGAAGAAGGCCUUCGGGUUGUAAAGCACUUUUGUCCGGGAAGAAAUCGCACCUGAUAAUACCGGGUGUGGAUGACGGUACCGGAAGAAUAAGGACCGGCUAACUACGUGCCAGCAGCCGCGGUAAUACGUAGGGUCCAAGCGUUAAUCGGAAUUACUGGGCGUAAAGCGUGCGCAGGCGGUUGUGCAAGACCGAUGUGAAAUCCCCGGGCUUAACCUGGGAAUUGCAUUGGUGACUGCACGGCUAGAGUGUGUCAGAGGGGGGUAGAAUUCCACGUGUAGCAGUGAAAUGCGUAGAGAUGUGGAGGAAUACCGAUGGCGAAGGCAGCCCCCUGGGAUAACACUGACGCUCAUGCACGAAAGCGUGGGGAGCAAACAGGAUUAGAAACCCCGGUAGUCC
This 450-nucleotide ribosomal RNA is filed under the name uncultured bacterium. RNAcentral describes it as "partial 16S ribosomal RNA". It matches the Rfam family "Bacterial small subunit ribosomal RNA", at positions 354 to 796 of the family's 1533-position model. The record is from RNAcentral.